UACGGAGGGGGCUAGCGUUGUUCGGAAUUACUGGGCGUAAAGGGUUUGUAGGUGGCCUGCUAAGUCAGACGUGAAAUCCCUCAGCUUAACUGGGGAACUGCGUCCGAUACUGGAUGGCUUGGAUUUGGGAGAGGGAUGCGGAAUUCCAGGUGUAGCGGUGAAAUGCGUAGAUAUCUGGAGGAACACCGGUGGCGAAGGCGGCAUCCUGGACCAAUAUUGACGCUGAGGAGCGAAAGCCAGGGGAGCAAACGGG
RNAcentral lists this ribosomal RNA (253 nucleotides) under uncultured bacterium. Its description in RNAcentral is "partial 16S ribosomal RNA". It matches the Rfam family "Bacterial small subunit ribosomal RNA", at positions 524 to 776 of the family's 1533-position model. The record is from RNAcentral.